AUCCAUUUCACCCUUUGUGCAUCACCGCGCAGGGUCGCUCCCUCUUGGCUUGCUUCGAGAGGGGGAGGCUCGCGUUUUUCACACAUAAACACCCUUCUAGUUUAGAAUGUCAUUCAUUUGCGAUAACACGCAAUCAAUACAACUUUCAACAACGGAUCUCUUGGCUCUCGCAUCGAUGAAGAACGCAGCGAAAUGCGAUACGUAAUGUGAAUUGCAGAAUUCAGUGAAUCAUCGAAUCUUUGAACGCAUCUUGCGCCCCUUGGUAUUCCGAGGGGCACACCCGUUUGAGUGUCGUGAAAUUCUCAAACCUUCUUGGUUUCUUGAUCAAGAUGGCUUUGGACUUUGGAGGUGUUUUGCUGGCUUUGUGAAAAGCCAGCUCCUCUUAAAUGCAUUAGUGGGGUCCCCUUUGCCGAUCCCCAGGCGUGAUAAGAUGUUUCUACGUCUUGGGAUUUGCUCUGUUCCUUGGGAACCCGCUUCUAACUGUCUCAUGGGAGACAUCGUUCGAGUUUGCUCGACCCACGAACCUUGACCUCAAAUCGGGUGAGACUACCCGCUGAACUUAAGCAUAUCAAUAAGCGGA
This 580-nucleotide ribosomal RNA is filed under the name uncultured Russula. RNAcentral describes it as "eukaryotic LSU rRNA". The stretch from base 141 to 294 matches the Rfam family "5.8S ribosomal RNA". Lineage: Eukaryota; Fungi; Basidiomycota; Agaricomycetes; Russulales; Russulaceae. The record is from RNAcentral.